This 208-nucleotide ribosomal RNA is filed under the name uncultured Pseudomonadota bacterium. RNAcentral describes it as "uncultured proteobacterium partial 16S ribosomal RNA". It matches the Rfam family "Bacterial small subunit ribosomal RNA", at positions 568 to 775 of the family's 1533-position model. Lineage: Bacteria; Pseudomonadati; Pseudomonadota. The record is from RNAcentral.
CGUGUAGGCGGCUUGGUAAGUCAGAUGUGAAAGCCCUGGGCUUAACCCAGGAAGUGCAUUUGAAACUGUCAGGCUUGAGUAGGGGAGAGGAAGGUGGAAUUCCUGGUGUAGAGGUGAAAUUCGUAGAUAUCAGGAGGAACACCGGUGGCGAAGGCGACCUUCUGGCCCUAUACUGACGCUGAGACGCGAAAGCGUAGGUAGCAAACAG